Molecule: non-coding RNA, 108 nt
Organism: Beta vulgaris subsp. vulgaris (sugar beet)
Lineage: Eukaryota; Viridiplantae; Streptophyta; Magnoliopsida; Caryophyllales; Amaranthaceae
Source: Rfam
CACUCAGGAAUGCCGCCACUGCCUUUGCAAAGCCUUGUAUCUUUGCCAUGCUUCAUAAAGAGACUCCAAUUCAUGUUGUUGAAAGCCAGAUAUCUCGUUUCUGAACUU